AGGAUAAACGCUGGCGGCGUGCCUAACACAUGCAAGUCGAACGUCCUUGCGGUCUUCUUCUUCGGAGGAGGACCGCGAGGGAGUGGCGGACGGGUGAGUAACACAUGGGUACCUGCCUUUCAGUGAGGAAUACCGGCGAGAAAUCGCCGACAAGACCGCAUAGGCUUCCUUCGGUAGCCCGAGGGAAGCAAAGUUACUUCGCGAGAGGUGACGCUGGAAGAGGGGCCUGUGGCCGAUUAGCUAGUUGGGGGGUAACGGCCUCCCAAGGCGACGAUCGGUAGCUGGUCUGAGAGGACGAUCAGCCACACUGGGAUUGAGAACGGCCCAGACUCCUACGGGGGGCAGCAGUGAGGAAUUUUCCGCAAUGGACGAAAGUCUGACGGAGCAACGCCGCGUGCAGGAGGAAGGUUUCGGAUCGUAAACUGCUUUUCUCGGGACGAGCAAGGACGGUACCCGAGGAAGAAGCCCCGGCUAACUACGUGCCAGCAGCCGC
This 493-nucleotide ribosomal RNA is filed under the name uncultured bacterium. Its description in RNAcentral is "SSU rRNA". It matches the Rfam family "Bacterial small subunit ribosomal RNA", at positions 26 to 518 of the family's 1533-position model. The record is from RNAcentral.